UACGUAGGGUGCAAGCGUUAAUCGGAAUUACUGGGCGUAAAGCGUGCGCAGGCGGUUCUAUAAGACAGAUGUGAAAUCCCCGGGCUCAACCUGGGAACUGCAUUUGUGAGUGUAGAGCUGGAGUACGGCAGAGGGGGAUGGAAUUCCGCGUGUAGCAGUGAAAUGCGUAGAUAUGCGGAGGAACACCGAUGGCGAAGGCAAUCCCCUGGGCCUGUACUGACGCUCAUGCACGAAAGCGUGGGGAGCAAACAGG
This 253-nucleotide ribosomal RNA is filed under the name uncultured bacterium. RNAcentral's name for it is "partial 16S ribosomal RNA". It matches the Rfam family "Bacterial small subunit ribosomal RNA", at positions 524 to 776 of the family's 1533-position model. The record is from RNAcentral.